CAGGGAAUAGUUUAAUAAGAAUUUCAGUUUUGGGUACUGAUGGUGGGAUUUUUUUAUCUCUUCCUUGA
This 68-nucleotide transfer RNA is filed under the name Cavia porcellus (domestic guinea pig). RNAcentral describes it as "tRNA (ENSCPOG00000017434.2)". The record is from RNAcentral. Lineage: Eukaryota; Metazoa; Chordata; Mammalia; Rodentia; Caviidae.